Long non-coding RNA from Panthera uncia (snow leopard), 987 nucleotides. RefSeq lists it as uncharacterized. The transcript is spliced from 2 exons. The record is from RefSeq and is a predicted model, not a curated record. Lineage: Eukaryota; Metazoa; Chordata; Mammalia; Carnivora; Felidae.
GCAGAAAGGAUUUUCUUCUUGCCUGGCAACAACCCAGCCAAUGAGAAGCCUCCACAGCCCAGCCAAUGAGAAACUGCCACAACCCCGCCAAUGAGAAGCCUCCAUAACUCAGCCAAUGAAAAGCUGCCACAAGGCAACCAAUGAGAAGCCGUCACAACCGGAACUCUAGCUCUCCUCCAAGGAACUUUUGUUUGGAACAACCCUGCCUAAUGCUUUCCUCUCCUCUACGAGAGGACCUUCUCCUCCUUUGUUCUCGGACGUGCCCGUGGCUUGCCAUGGUUUGCACGUCCUGAAUUGCAGUUUCUCUGCUAUUCCUGAAUAAUCUCAUUUUUGCUGGUUAAAUAACUGGCCGUUUUAUUUUUAUGGUUGACAGUGGUGAGGCAGCUCCAAGACAGAUGUGUGACGUUCGGACGAGAGGCGGCCUUGGAACGUCCUCCGAAGCUGUCCUUGAACACCAGCCCGGGAACGGGGAAACGUGCCGUGGGUGGAAUUGCUGAGCCCCUGAGAUGCAGGGGCCAGAGGACCAGCGGCAAAGCCUCUACUCUGAUUCUUACGGGCCAGAACACGGUUGCCGAACCGAGGCUUCCAGAACGGUGAGACAAAUACCGCCCCUUUGUUUGGACAGUGCUCUACGCUGCUGUGCUGUCUGAAGGUGACAAGAAUUGGGUAAAUAACUCGAGGAUGUUUCCAGCUGCUCAGGCAUAUUUCAGGCAUAUGAAGAAUCUUUCAGAUCGUCUUCUGUGUGGGCGAAUUGGGUCAUGGGGAGAACCCUUUCGUGUCACCCUCAGGGCCAUGGGCAAGACCCAGUGGUUCAAGUCAAAGAAUGAAAUGCUCAGUUCCCGUCGUGGCCCAGGCUCUCAGCCCUCACGUGUCCUGCGUCCUCAGCCUUCUCCCACCCACUGUUUCCUGGGUGCUCUGGGUUCUCAUGAAACCAUUUAUUGGCUUGGCUUCCUGAGUAAAUAAAAGAUCACAGCAUAACGCACUUUC